This 384-nucleotide unclassified non-coding RNA is filed under the name soil metagenome. Its description in RNAcentral is "partial contains 5.8S ribosomal RNA, internal transcribed spacer 2, and large subunit ribosomal RNA". The stretch from base 1 to 120 matches the Rfam family "5.8S ribosomal RNA", at positions 35 to 154 of the family's 154-position model. The record is from RNAcentral.
GAUGAAGAACGCAGCGAAAUGCGAUAAGUAAUGUGAAUUGCAGAAUUCAGUGAAUCAUCGAAUCUUUGAACGCACCUUGCACCCUUUGGCAUUCCGAAGGGUAUGCUCGUUUGAGUGUCAUUGUACUCUCACUCUCCCGAUGCUUUUGGAUCGGGAGUGGUGGACUUGGGUGUUGCUGCUUUGCUGUGGCUCGCCUCAAAUGGAGUAGUGCAACUCUUGGUUGGACAUAGUACGGCGUGAUAAGUGUCUUCGCCGGCGCCUCAUUAUAGAGGGUGGCCGAUCGGGAGCUCUGCGCUUCAAACCGUCUUCGGACAACAUCUGACAACUUGACCUCAAAUCGAGUAGGACUACCCGCUGAACUUAAGCAUAUCAAUAAGCGGAGGA